GAUGAACGCUAGCGGCAGGCUUAACACAUGCAAGUCGAGGGGCAGCGGGGAGGAAGCUUGCUUUCUCCGCCGGCGACCGGCGCACGGGUGAGUAACACGUAUGCAACCUGGCCGUGACAGAUGGAUAACCGGGAGAAAUCCCGCCUAAUACAGCAUGACGCCGGGAAGGGACAUCCCUUUCCGGCCAAAGGGGGCGACUCCGGUCACGGAUGGGCAUGCGGCGCAUUAGGUAGUUGGUGGGGCAACGGCCCACCAAGCCGACGAUGCGUAGGGGUUCUGAGAGGAAGGUCCCCCACAUUGGAACUGAGACACGGUCCAA
RNAcentral lists this ribosomal RNA (319 nucleotides) under uncultured bacterium. RNAcentral describes it as "bacterial SSU rRNA". It matches the Rfam family "Bacterial small subunit ribosomal RNA", at positions 28 to 334 of the family's 1533-position model. The record is from RNAcentral.